RNAcentral lists this ribosomal RNA (585 nucleotides) under uncultured bacterium. RNAcentral describes it as "partial 16S ribosomal RNA". It matches the Rfam family "Bacterial small subunit ribosomal RNA", at positions 355 to 1375 of the family's 1533-position model. The record is from RNAcentral.
UGGGGAAUUUUGGACAAUGGGCGAAAGCCUGAUCCAGCAAUGCCGCGUGUGUGAAGAAGGCCUUCGGGUUGUAAAGCACUUUUGUCCGGAAAGAAAUCCUUGGCUCUAAUACAGUCGGGGGAUGACGGUACCGGAAGAAUAAGCACCGGCUAACUACGUGCCAGCAGCCGCGGUAAUACGUAGGGUGCAAGCGUUAAUCGGAAUUACUGGGCGUAAAGCGUGCGCAGGCGGUUUGCUAAGACCGAUGUGAGAUCCCCGGGCUCAACCUGGGAACUGCAUUGGUGACUGGCAGGCUAGAGUAUGGCAGAGGGGGGUAGAAUUCCACUGUAGCAGUGAAAUGCGUAGAGAUGUGGAGGAAUACCGAUGGCGAAGGCAGCCCCCCUGGGCCAAUACUGACGCUCAUGCACGAAAGCGUGGGGAGCAAACAGGAUUAGAUACCCUGGUAGUCCACGCCCUAAACGAUGUCAACUAGUUGUUGGGGAUUCAUUUCCUUAGUAACGUAGCUAACGCGUGAAGUUGACCGCCUGGGGAGUACGGUCGCAAGAUUAAAACUUAAAUGAAUUGACGGGGUCAUAGCUGUUUCCU